Long non-coding RNA from Coccinella septempunctata (seven-spotted ladybird), 279 nucleotides. RefSeq lists it as uncharacterized. The transcript is spliced from 2 exons. The record is from RefSeq and is a predicted model, not a curated record. NCBI's taxonomy places the organism in Eukaryota, Metazoa, Arthropoda, Insecta, Coleoptera, Coccinellidae.
UUUACGUACAUCAAUUUUUUGUUGCUCUUUGUAUUGUUUGGCAGUCAUGUACCUGUUGAGCCUAAUAUUAACCCAUUCGUUAUUUACAGGGAACGCCGGCGGGAGCAGGAAAAACAGUUGAGAGCCAGGAUGCAAGAAAAUACGGGAGGUACACCACAAGUGCUUCCCCCCCUCUUCGGAAAUCCAGUUAAGGUUCCUACAAAUAAGAAUGACCCGUUGGUGAAAAGAAUUAACGGCGUACUGGGAGAGUAUAGCAGGGCCAAGCAUUUAUUCGAUGGG